UUUUUGAGCGGGGGACAACAUUUGGAAACGAAUGCUAAUACCGCAUAACAACUUUAAACACAAGUUUUAAGUUUGAAAGAUGCAAUUCGCAUCACUCAAAGAUGAUCCCGCGUUGUAUUAGCUAGUUGGUGAGGUAAAGGCUCACCAAGGCGAUGAUACAUAGCCGACCUGAGAGGGUGAUCGGCCACAUUGGGACUGAGACACGGCCCAAACUCCUACGGGAGGCAGCAGUAGGGAAUCUUCGGCAAUGGACGAAAGUCUGACCGAGCAACGCCGCGUGAGUGAAGAAGGUUUUCGGAUCGUAAAACUCUGUUGGUAGAGAAGAACGUUGGUGAGAGUGGAAAGCUCAUCAAGUGACGGUAACUACCCAGAAAGGGACGGCUAACUACGUGCCAGCAGCCGCGGUAAUACGUAGGUCCCGAGCGUUGUCCGGAUUUAUUGGGCGUAAAGCGAGCGCAGGUGGUUUAUUAAGUCUGGUGUAAAAGGUAGUGGCUCAACCAUUGUAUGCAUUGGAAACUGGUAGACUUGAGUGCAGGAGAGGAGAGUGGAAUUCCAUGUGUAGCGGUGAAAUGCGUAGAUAUAUGGAGGAACACCGGGUGGCGAAAGCGGCUCUCUGGCCUGUAACUGACACUGAGGCUCGAAAGCGUGGGGAGCAAACAGGAUUAGAUACCCUGGUAGUCCACGCCGUAAACGAUGAGUGCUAGAUGUAGGGAGCUAUAAGUUCUCUGUAUCGCAGCUAACGCAAU
RNAcentral lists this ribosomal RNA (746 nucleotides) under Lactococcus lactis. RNAcentral's name for it is "bacterial SSU rRNA". It matches the Rfam family "Bacterial small subunit ribosomal RNA", at positions 129 to 861 of the family's 1533-position model. Lineage: Bacteria; Bacillati; Bacillota; Bacilli; Lactobacillales; Streptococcaceae. The record is from RNAcentral.